RNAcentral lists this ribosomal RNA (396 nucleotides) under uncultured bacterium. RNAcentral describes it as "partial 16S ribosomal RNA". It matches the Rfam family "Bacterial small subunit ribosomal RNA", at positions 523 to 918 of the family's 1533-position model. The record is from RNAcentral.
AUACGUAGGGAGCGAGCGUUGUCCGGAAUUACUGGGUGUAAAGGGAGCGUAGGCGGGAGUGCAAGUCAGAUGUGAAAUACAUGGGCUCAACCCAUGGGCUGCAUUUGAAACUGCAUUUCUUGAGUGAAGUAGAGGUAAGCGGAAUUCUUGGUGUAGCGGUGAAAUGCGUAGAUAUCAGGAGGAACACCGGUGGCGAAGGCGGCUUACUGGGCUUUUACUGACGCUGAGGCUCGAAAGCGUGGGGAGCAAACAGGAUUAGAUACCCUGUUAGUCCACGCUGUAAACGAUGAUUACUAGGUGUGGGGGGACUGACCCCUUCCGUGCCGCAGUUAACACAAUAAGUAAUCCACCUGGGGAGUACGGCCGCAAGGUUGAAACUCAAAGGAAUUGACGGGG